RNAcentral lists this long non-coding RNA (263 nucleotides) under Phasianus colchicus (ring-necked pheasant). RNAcentral describes it as "lncRNA (ENSPCLG00000002497.1)". The record is from RNAcentral. Lineage: Eukaryota; Metazoa; Chordata; Aves; Galliformes; Phasianidae.
AAAAAAAAAUUGUUGUAAUGUUUUUUAGCUGGUGUUUCAGGUGAUCUUUGGAGCCUGAAUGCUAUACCCCUAAAAGGAUUUUCUACAGCAUGGAUUCAUUCAGACCCAGAUUCAGACAAGCGUUUAAGGAUGUAGGGAAGUAUAUAUGUGACUGCUUUAUGGUACUGAAUAAUACACAGACAUAAAUCUGUUUUGAAGGACAUCUACUAUUCCUCAGAGUCUGAAGGAAUAAAUCUAAGAGGAAGAACUGAGGAAGAAAUUGC